GAUGAACGCUAGCUACAGGCUUAACACAUGCAAGUCGAGGGGUAGCAUGGUCUUAGCUUGCUAAGGCCGAUGGCGACCGGCGCACGGGUGAGUAACACGUAUCCAACCUGCCGUCUACUCUUGGACAGCCUUCUGAAAGGAAGAUUAAUACAAGAUGGCAUCAUGAGUCCGCAUGUUCACAUGAUUAAAGGUAUUCCGGUAGACGAUGGGGAUGCGUUCCAUUAGAUAGUAGGCGGGGUAACGGCCCACCUAGUCUUCGAUGGAUAGGGGUUCUGAGAGGAAGGUCCCCCACAUUGGAACUGAGACACGGUCCAAACUCCUACGGGAGGCAGCAGUGAGGAAUAUUGGUCAAUGGGCGAGAGCCUGAACCAGCCAAGUAGCGUGAAGGAUGACUGCCCUAUGGGUUGUAAACUUCUUUUAUAAAGGAAUAAAGUCGGGUAUGCAUACCCGUUUGCAUGUACUUUAUGAAUAAGGAUCGGCUAACUCCGUGCCAGCAGCCGCGGUAAUACGGAGGAUCCGAGCGUUAUCCGGAUUUAUUGGGUUUAAAGGGAGCGUAGAUGGAUGUUUAAGUCAGUUGUGAAAGUUUGCGGCUCAACCGUAAAAUUGCAGUUGAUACUGGAUAUCUUGAGUGCAGUUGAGGCAGGCGGAAUUCGUGGUGUAGCGGUGAAAUGCUUAGAUAUCACGAAGAACUCCGAUUGGGAAGGCAGCCUGCUAAGCUGCAACUGACAUUGAGGCUCGAAAGUGGGGGUAUCAAACAGGAUUAGAUACCCUGGUAGUCCACACGGUAAACGAUGAAUACUCGCUGUUUGCGAUAUACAGCAAGCGGCCAAGCGAAAGCGUUAAGUAUUCCACCUGGGGAGUACGCCGGCAACGGUGAAACUCAAAGGAAUUGACGGGGGCCCGCACAAGCGGAGGAACAUGUGGUUUAAUUCGAUGAUACGCGAGGAACCUUACCCGGGCUUAAAUUGCAGAUGAAUUACGGUGAAAGCCGUAAGCCGCAAGGCAUCUGUGAAGGUGCUGCAUGGUUGUCGUCAGCUCGUGCCGUGAGGUGUCGGCUUAAGUGCCAUAACGAGCGCAACCCUUGUUGUCAGUUACUAACAGGUUCCGCUGAGGACUCUGACAAGACUGCCAUCGUAAGAUGUGAGGAAGGUGGGGAUGACGUCAAAUCAGCACGGCCCUUACGUCCGGGGCUACACACGUGUUACAAUGGGGGGUACAGAGGGCCGCUACCACGCGAGUGGAUGCCAAUCCCAAAAACCUCUCUCAGUUCGGACUGGAGUCUGCAACCCGACUCCACGAAGCUGGAUUCGCUAGUAAUCGCGCAUCAGCCACGGCGCGGUGAAUACGUUCCCGGGCCUUGUACACACCGCCCGUCAAGCCAUGGGAGCCGGGGGUACCUGAAGUGCGUAACCGCGAGGAG
RNAcentral lists this ribosomal RNA (1420 nucleotides) under uncultured organism. RNAcentral describes it as "16S ribosomal RNA". It matches the Rfam family "Bacterial small subunit ribosomal RNA". The record is from RNAcentral.